Long non-coding RNA from Aplysia californica (California sea hare), 1161 nucleotides. RefSeq lists it as uncharacterized. The record is from RefSeq and is a predicted model, not a curated record. Lineage: Eukaryota; Metazoa; Mollusca; Gastropoda; Aplysiida; Aplysiidae. The transcript has 2 exons.
UGCCCCAAAAUUGACGAGCACAUGGUUUCACUGCGUAUGACACAAUGUUCUUAUGGUAAUAUAAAGGAAAUUAUUAUCGAAAUUGUAUUCUUAAAAGAUUGACCAGGCAUGUUUGCAAAAACUUCGUCCUCUUGGUAGCAACAUUCUGUUCUUUUUGGCUCUCCAGUAAAAUUGUAAAAACUACAUAUUAAUACAUGUAUUAUGCUGUAUUUUUGAAAAUGACAUCAGAAUUCGAGCAAAUACCUUAAUGGCGAACCAAGGCCUUUGAUGUUUGAUUCCGAUCAGACGCUCUUUGAUAAUAAUGUAUCUAAAUAAAACAGAUCUACUGACCUAUGAACGACUGUAAGAUUGGAUCUAGUCAUGGGGACACUAGAUAUAUAUCACCAACACUGUACUAUAAAGCUGGCGGUUGGCUCCUUGUUUGUUCAUCAAAACGUUGAGAAGAAGCGCUCUACUUAGUUUCACCAACUGAUACCUCGUUGUGCUUCGCAAGACCUCCACCUCCCAGCAUGUCCCGCUGUCUACUCCUUCCCGCCAUGUCGCUCCUCCUGGUCCUGGUGGUCACGUGGACACAGCCACCCCAGGCCGGCGCGAACGUCAUUAGUCAGUUUCCUAUUCAGGGAAUCUCGGGAACGUCCGGGGACACAGACUGUCUUCUGAGGUGUGGCAAUGUGGCGACCAGGUGCCAGGCAGGUCCCAGGGAGUGUGGGAACAGAAUGAGGACCUGUCUCAACCUGUGCCGUGGCGGGAACGGCAGGUGAUGAGGACGAGAGCGACACAGCUACCCGACAUAAACCCAUAAUUUAUUGCCCAGACGUUUCUAUCUCCGUAUUCUCUUCGUUUUGGUAUAAUAUAUAUAUAUAUGAGGUAUAUAUAUAUAUAUAGGAUGUUGGGGUUCCCCUGGAAAGAAAGUGUCCAUCCGAUUGAGUAAAAAUUCCCUCCGUUUGUCUAUGAAUUCUGCGUAAUUCGGCUACGAUAAUGUCCUAAAAAAUAAUUCUUUAGAAAUAUUUAGAAUCAUUAUCAAGCAAGGUCCUUGAAAGCUUCGAUGUAAACAUGUUGUGUCUUUCUAAAUUUCAUAUAAUCUCGUUUGAGAUUUAAAAUUAAAAAAAGUUCAGUGCCUAUUUUCAGCGAUAUCUCAAAAUAAAAUUCUGCACCAUCCGA